CUAUGCUGCACAGCUUGGACGAAGGUGUCUAUCAUCCUAUUACGCGUGAGUUCACUGGAAUAGGUGCGCAAGAAGGUUCAACGCAUCACACUCAAGUUGGCCGCUCUGCCUCCUCUCAUUCGAUUUCUUUCCGCCAUUUUAUUCCGGGUUUUGCUGACGUUCACUUGCCGCACACCGACCUGUGGACGCACACGCACACACGAACACAUAUACACACACGCUCUCACGCCUAAACCCGCAAAAUGGCCAGCGAAGACAUCAUUAUCUUCCUCGACGCUCUCGAGAACACCGUCAACUCGAUUCGCGGUGACGGGUCGGCGAAGAAGACGCUCUUCACCACCGGCUGCGUAUGCCCGGACGGUGUCGGACUCGAUCUCAGCGCGUACAAGGAUUCGAAGAACCCUGAUGACAUUGUUGCGUGGUGGGGCAACAUGGGGGCUAUGAAGCCGUGCCCGGGGCAGAAAGACGGGGCAGACUGGCACGAUGCUGACGGCUUCCUUGUGCGUGCCCCGCUCUUUGGCGGCGAUGCGGCAGUGAAGCGGGUGGAGAUGACGGCGCCACGGAGCCUCAUCCGUGGCACGGCGGCGUUCCAGGCCCCAGGCUACCCUCCACUCGUCACCACCGUGAAGCAGGUGGCGCUCUCCAGAAACGGACGCGCCGUCUUCUUCUGCGACCGGGAAGGGCACGGUGUGAAGAAGUAUAACGUGGACACGAAGGAGGUGGUGCCGCUCUUGUCCUCGGACGUGCUGGCGGCCCUCGCCGACGGACUCACGGAGGAGGAGGCUCGUGCCUCACUUGUGGAGCCGAACAGCGACGAAGACAAGUGCCGCUUCUGCGUCGGUAUUACGCUGGACGAGAAGCACAACCAGAUCUUCUUUACCCUGAAGGGGCCGUCCAAGGGUGGCAAGGGCCGCAUUCUCGCGGCCCCGUACUACUUCCAGCGCCGUCACCUAGCAUCCAUCACAGCCGCGAACACGUCCACUUCUGAAGGCGUGAUCGACCCGAAGACGGUUGUGACGCUGCUCGACCACCUGCCGGAGCCCAUCGAUCUGCUUCUGGACUCGGAGGAAAACUAUCUGUACUGGACAGACCGCGGUGAUGACGCGGCGGGCGGCAACUCACUGAACCGUGCUCCCGUCACCUAUGACCCCUGUUCCGGGCAACCGCAGCUUGGGGAGAGGGAGCUGCUGAUCCGCGGCUUCAACGAGGCGAUCGGACUGGCGUGGGCGGCAAACCUUGUGGAUUGCAUGCGACUGCCCGAGAACAAGGAAACCCUGCGCCAGUACAUGUACGUCACGGACAUGAGACACCUCUGGCGCUGCGAUUUGAAGGCGAGAACGAAGGAGGUGGUCUACAAGUGCGGCCCCCGCAACGUGCUGACCGGCGUUGAGGUGCUGCGUUUCUUUUGAGAGGCGACGAGGAGGAGGGACUCUGAGCGACGGCGUGCAGAGUGGGAGGUGCAGGGAAAAGACCACUCUCCGCGCUUAAGCGUCAGCAAGAUUUCUCUUUAGUGUCUCGGCAGUUUCCAGGCUCGUAGUCCUCUACGUAGGAUUGAUCUGCCUGUGUCAAGCCUAUUGGCAGCUUCUUGACAUAUGAAGGGCUCCUCUUUCCGUUUUUCUACGGACGCCUCCCUCCCACCUCUUUCCUCUGUACAUGCCGACCGUUGCGCUGUCAG
Molecule: unclassified non-coding RNA, 1675 nt
Filed under: Leishmania donovani
Lineage: Eukaryota; Euglenozoa; Kinetoplastea; Trypanosomatida; Trypanosomatidae
Description: gene:LdHU3.17.1010(CDS-product:hypothetical_prote in_conserved)
Source: RNAcentral